RNAcentral lists this ribosomal RNA (253 nucleotides) under uncultured bacterium. Its description in RNAcentral is "partial 16S ribosomal RNA". It matches the Rfam family "Bacterial small subunit ribosomal RNA", at positions 524 to 776 of the family's 1533-position model. The record is from RNAcentral.
UACGUAGGGUGCAAGCGUUGUCCGGAAUUAUUGGGCGUAAAGAGCUCGUAGGCGGUUUGUCGCGUCCGCUGUGAAAACUCGGGGCUCAACUCCGAGCUUGCAGUGGGUACGGGCAGACUAGAGUGCGGUAGGGGAGACUGGAAUUCCUGGUGUAGCGGUGGAAUGCGCAGAUAUCAGGAGGAACACCGGUGGCGAAGGCGGUUCUCUGGGCAUUACCUGACGCUGAGGAGCGAAAGUGUGGGGAGCGAACAGG